Molecule: long non-coding RNA, 604 nt
Organism: Eptesicus fuscus (big brown bat)
Lineage: Eukaryota; Metazoa; Chordata; Mammalia; Chiroptera; Vespertilionidae
Exons: 2
Source: RefSeq, a predicted model, not a curated record
AAGGAAGGCCAAAGAAAGAGCUGCUUAAUAUAGACCAUUACUGAGGCCCACCGAUGGGUGCAACGAGCCUUUUCUUCUGAUUUCCUCCCUGGAAGUAGAGGGGUUGGAAAGGCAGGAAGCGAGGACCUUCCAGAAUAAAAUUCAGGUUUUCCUUGUAAGGGUUGAGAUGUCGCAGAGAUGAAUCAGCCCGCUUUCCGCUGCUGACUCGGUGCUGCUGGGUGUUCAGCAAAGACAUCUGGGCUUGAAGGGCUCUGUGAUCUUCUGGCGUUAGAAUGGGCAACGCUGUUGAGAAACAGGGGCCCCUGCACGGCAGCCAGCUGUGUCCCUGGAAACAAGUGGAAGGGAACACAUGCCAGAUGAUCUCAGAGGUGUCUCUGCAGACUGUGAAUCCGUGCCCAGCAGCUGUGGCCACUGCCACUAAUACCUGCGUGCUCCCCAGAUGUUCAGACCUGCAGAAGGCAUCAUUCUGUUGAGCACCAUGGUCACGGGGGCUUUUUAUGGUGAAUUUCUUUGAAAACGGUUAUUACAGGAUCAGACAUAAUUGAACUGUUCCUCGUGAGCUAAAAUAUUAAACUAACCAGGACAGUCCGUUUUCCCAUUCUGA